CAGGCUUAACACAUGCAAGUCGAGGGGCAGCAUGGUCUUAGCUUGCUAAGGCCGAUGGCGACCGGCGCACGGGUGAGUAACACGUAUCCAACCUGCCGUCUACUCUUGGACAGCCUUCUGAAAGGAAGAUUAAUACAAGAUGGCAUCAUGAGUCCGCAUGUUCACAUGAUUAAAGGUAUUCCGGUAGACGAUGGGGAUGCGUUCCAUUAGAUAGUAGGCGGGGUAACGGCCCACCUAGUCUUCGAUGGAUAGGGGUUCUGAGAGGAAGGUCCCCCACAUUGGAACUGAGACACGGUCCAAACUCCUACGGGAGGCAGCAGUGAGGAAUAUUGGUCAAUGGGCGAGAGCCUGAACCAGCCAAGUAGCGUGAAGGAUGACUGCCCUAUGGGUUGUAAACUUCUUUUAUAAAGGAAUAAAGUCGGGUAUGCAUACCCGUUUGCAUGUACUUUAUGAAUAAGGAUCGGCUAACUCCGUGCCAGCAGCCGCGGUAAUACGGAGGAUCCGAGCGUUAUCCGGAUUUAUUGGGUUUAAAGGGAGCGUAGAUGGAUGUUUAAGUCAGUUGUGAAAGUUUGCGGCUCAACCGUAAAAUUGCAGUUGAUACUGGAUAUCUUGAGUGCAGUUGAGGCAGGCGGAAUUCGUGGUGUAGCGGUGAAAUGCUUAGAUAUCACGAAGAACUCCGAUUGCGAAGGCAGCCUGCUAAGCUGCAACUGACAUUGAGGCUCGAAAGUGUGGGUAUCAAACAGGAUUAGAUACCCUGGUAGUCCACACGGUAAACGAUGAAUACUCGCUGUUUGCGAUAUACGGCAAGCGGCCAAGCGAAAGCGUUAAGUAUUCCACCUGGGGAGUACGCCGGCAACGGUGAAACUCAAAGGAAUUGACGGGGGCCCGCACAAGCGGAGGAACAUGUGGUUUAAUUCGAUGAUACGCGAGGAACCUUACCCGGGCUUAAAUUGCAGAUGAAUUACGGUGAAAGCCGUAAGCCGCAAGGCAUCUGUGAAGGUGCUGCAUGGUUGUCGUCAGCUCGUGCCGUGAGGUGUCGGCUUAAGUGCCAUAACGAGCGCAACCCUUGUUGUCAGUUACUAACAGGUUCCGCUGAGGACUCUGACAAGACUGCCAUCGUAAGAUGUGAGGAAGGUGGGGAUGACGUCAAAUCAGCACGGCCCUUACGUCCGGGGCUACACACGUGUUACAAUGGGGGGUACAGAGGGCCGCUACCACGCGAGUGGAUGCCAAUCCCCAAAACCUCUCUCAGUUCGGACUGGAGUCUGCAACCCGACUCCACGAAGCUGGAUUCGCUAGUAAUCGCGCAUCAGCCACGGCGCGGUGAAUACGUUCCCGGGCCUUGUACACACCGCCCGUCAAGCCAUGGGAGCCGGGGGUACCUGAAGUGCGUAACCGCGAGGAGCGCCCUAGGGUAAAACUGGUGACUGGGGCUAAAUCG
RNAcentral lists this ribosomal RNA (1441 nucleotides) under uncultured organism. RNAcentral's name for it is "16S ribosomal RNA". It matches the Rfam family "Bacterial small subunit ribosomal RNA". The record is from RNAcentral.